RNAcentral lists this ribosomal RNA (505 nucleotides) under uncultured bacterium. Its description in RNAcentral is "partial 16S ribosomal RNA". It matches the Rfam family "Bacterial small subunit ribosomal RNA", at positions 28 to 507 of the family's 1533-position model. The record is from RNAcentral.
GACGAACGCUGGCGGCGUGCCUAAUACAUGCCAGUAGAACGCACAGUUUAUACCGUAGCUUGCUACACCAUAGACUGUGAGUUGCGAACGGGUGAGUAACGCGUAGGUAACCUGCCUGGUAGCGGGGGAUAACUAUUGGAAACGAUAGCUAAUACCGCAUAAUAUUAAUUAUUGCAUGAUAAUUAAUUGAAAGGUGCAAUUGCACCACUACCAGAUGGACCUGCGUUGUAUUAGCUAGUAGGUGAGGUAACGGCUCACCUAGGCGACGAUACAUAGCCGACCUGAGAGGGUGAUCGGCAACACUGGGACUGAGACACGGCCCAGACUCCUACGGGAGGCAGCAGUAGGGAAUCUUCGGCAAUGGACGAAAGUCUGACCGAGCAACGCCGCGUGAGUGAAGAAGGUUUUCGGAUCGUAAAGCUCUGUUGUAAGAGAAGAACGGGUGUGAGAGUGGAAAGUUCACACUGUGACGGUAUCUUACCAGAAAGGGACGGCUAACUACGUG